RNAcentral lists this ribosomal RNA (448 nucleotides) under uncultured bacterium. Its description in RNAcentral is "partial 16S ribosomal RNA". It matches the Rfam family "Bacterial small subunit ribosomal RNA", at positions 329 to 793 of the family's 1533-position model. The record is from RNAcentral.
UUCCAGACUCCUACGGGAGGCAGCAGUGGGGAAUAUUGCACAAUGGGGGAAACCCUGAUGCAGCGACGCCGCGUGAGCGAUGAAGUAUUUCGGUAUGUAAAGCUCUCUCAGCAGGGAAGAAAAUGACGGUACCUGACUAAGAAGCCCCGGCUAACUACGUGCCAGCAGCCGCGGUAAUACGUAGGGGGCAAGCGUUAUCCGGAUUUACUGGGUGUAAAGGGAGCGUAGACGGCGGUGCAAGCCAGAUGUGAAAGCCCGGGGCUCAACCCCGGGACUGCAUUUGGAACUGCGUGGCUGGAGUGCAGGAGGGGCAGGCGGAAUUCCUGGUGUAGCGGUGAAAUGCGUAGAUAUCAGGAGGAACACCGGUGGCGAAGGCGGCCUGCUGGACUGCAACUGACGUUGAGGCCCGAAAGCGUGGGGAGCAAACAGGAUUAGAUACCCUCGUAAG